UAAAAUGAAUAAAAACACAUAGAAAGAGUAUGUACACUCGACUAUUUUCUUUUUCUAGUUACGCAGCUGGAUUGGUUUUCUCUGUGUGCGUAUUCUUUAUGGUGAAUAAUACAAUGAAAGUCACGUAUCUCGUAUGAGCACGGCGAGGUGACGAGAGCACGUGCUCACGCGCGCGCGCGCCUCUUUACAAAGGGAUCACAAAAUGAGUAAGGUAUCUUCAAAUGAUUUCAAAGAAGGACAUUCGUUAAACAUUAAGCUCUAUAUUGCUGUUUUGUAUCGCAGUAAUAUGUGGAAAGACGUCAGUUCGGUGCAAAGCUCGCAAUCCUUCUUAACUCACCUCAGUUUAUCGGAAUUAUCGUGUUAAACCGAGUGGUGACCAUGAAUAACCACUCCAGUGCAAAGGAUUAAACAUAAGAAUAACUAUUGCGAAAAUGCGACGAUUGUGACAGGAUGAAAUAUGUACGUUGAAGAAGUGCGGGUGCUUGGAAUGCUGUCGGUGAGAUGUAGAGAAGACCGUAAACUAGAAAUCGCUACCUAACUUAACUUUUAAGGUUGAAACUUGUGGAGCACCGAUUUAUCACGAAAGGAUUCGGAGAAUGCGAGAGGUUAAAUUGUGCUUACGUGAUCAUUCCUGUAUAAAAAAAUAAAUACGCGCUACCUACACCCACAGUUGGCAACGCACUAUACGCGAUAAUAACAUUUCCGCUCGUAGUAGUUGUAGAAGCUCAGGGUUCUCGCUAAACAAAGAGUCAAAAAACGAGGGUAGAAAAAGAUGAGAGAGAACAUUUUAUUAUUCCUCCGACACGCGCUAAGAGAACAUGAUUGUGUGAAAACACAGAGACGCAAACAAUCGUUUCUGUCUGAUCCCCCCUCCCUCGUCGCACCUGGUCAAUUCUCCAAGCCUAAGGAUUGUUAUCUCGGUAGUCGGUUGCAAUCUUCCUGUUUGAUAUAAAUCAAGAUUUCAUUUUCUUAUCUACCAGUGUUAACGAGUUAGAACGCAAUUUAACGAUCUAAUGUUUUAUUAAUUGUAAUUAUUAAAUGAAUGAUGUAAUUAGGGGACAAGAUGACCAUCAAGACGAUCAUAUUAUACAUUUAGGAUUUUCACGAAUUCGGCGAACCGUUGCACGCGUGUUACUUCGAAAAGUUACCUUUCCAACGUUCUUUCGUUAUCUACAAAGGGAGGGGAAGCAAUUGUUUUUUUCUAUACCUUUCACAAUGUGUGGAAAGCGAUACGCAGUUUCAUGUAAUUUCAUUUGAACAAAUGUGUAUUAGAUGUCUCGAGAGAAAAUGCAUAUGAUUAAAUCGUUUUCUCUAAAUCUUAAUAUUACAAUAUUUCUAUAUAACAAUUACCCUGUAUAUGUAUAUGUUUGCACUCGUUAUCACGAUUGGUUGAUGGGAACGAUUAUAAGAGAUAAAGAGAUUAAGAAUCAUGCGUGAGGUGAUAAAUGAAAAUAGAACGCGUUCCAUAUAUAUUUGUACGUGAAUCUAUCAAUUUAUAUGCAAUAGAAUCAUUGAACAUUAAAA
This is a long non-coding RNA of Polistes dominula (European paper wasp), 1524 nucleotides long. NCBI's taxonomy places the organism in Eukaryota, Metazoa, Arthropoda, Insecta, Hymenoptera, Vespidae. The record is from RefSeq and is a predicted model, not a curated record.